RNAcentral lists this ribosomal RNA (240 nucleotides) under uncultured bacterium. Its description in RNAcentral is "partial 16S ribosomal RNA". It matches the Rfam family "Bacterial small subunit ribosomal RNA", at positions 524 to 753 of the family's 1533-position model. The record is from RNAcentral.
GACAGAGGGUGCAAACGUUGUUCGGAAUUACUGGGCGUAAAGCGCGUGUAGGCGGCCAUCUAAGUCGGGCGUGAAAUCCCACGGCUACCAACCGGUGGAAGUGCACUCGAAACUGGGAUGGCGUAGGAGUCCUGGAGAGGAAGGUGGAAGUGCUUGGUGUAGAGGUGAAAUUCGUAGAUAUCAAGCGGAACACCGGUGGCGAAGGGCGGCCUUACUGGGACAGUGACUGACGCUGAGACG